RNAcentral lists this ribosomal RNA (438 nucleotides) under uncultured bacterium. RNAcentral describes it as "bacterial SSU rRNA". It matches the Rfam family "Bacterial small subunit ribosomal RNA", at positions 958 to 1397 of the family's 1533-position model. The record is from RNAcentral.
AACGCGAAGAACCUUACCAGGACUUGACAUGGAGGAGACGCGUACAGAGAUGUACGUUCCCGCGAGGGCUCCUUGCACAGGUGCUGCAUGGCUGUCGUCAGCUCGUGUCGUGAGAUGUUGGGUUAAGUCCCGCAACGAGCGCAACCCUUAUCUCCAGUUGCUACCAUUUAGUUGAGCACUCUGGCGAAACCGCCUCGGAUAACGGGGAGGAAGGUGGGGAUGACGUCAAGUCCUCAUGGCCUUUAUGUCCAGGGCUACACACGUGCUACAAUGGCCGGUACAAACCGCUGCAAACCCGCGAGGGGGAGCUAAUCGGAAAAAGCCGGCCUCAGUUCGGAUUGGAGUCUGCAACUCGACUCCAUGAAGCUGGAAUCGCUAGUAAUCGUGGAUCAGCAUGCCACGGUGAAUACGUUCCCGGGCCUUGUACACACCGACAUA